Molecule: transfer RNA, 82 nt
Filed under: Caenorhabditis brenneri
Lineage: Eukaryota; Metazoa; Nematoda; Chromadorea; Rhabditida; Rhabditidae
Description: tRNA-Ser (CGA) (tRNA-Ser-CGA-5-1)
Rfam family: tRNA
About the family: Transfer RNA (tRNA) molecules are approximately 80 nucleotides in length.
Source: Rfam by way of RNAcentral
GGAGUCAUGUCCGAGUGGUUAAGGAGAUUGACUCGAAAUCAAUUGGGCUCUGCCCGCGUAGGUUCGAAUCCUGCUGACUGCG